RNAcentral lists this long non-coding RNA (1116 nucleotides) under Salmo salar (Atlantic salmon). RNAcentral describes it as "lncRNA (ENSSSAG00000098182.1)". Lineage: Eukaryota; Metazoa; Chordata; Actinopteri; Salmoniformes; Salmonidae. The record is from RNAcentral.
GUGCAGGACGUGGAAGGGGGAGGGAUGCACACACUAAACAGGAACAGGAACAUGAAUAGGUGCAUCACCGGUCACUGAGCUAGCAAGCUAAAGUUAGCUAGUUAGUCACAUAAAUGUACGUUCAGCCUGUUAAUUAUUUCUGUCCGAUUUGACUUAUCUUACGAAGUCAGCAUGGCUUAACAUAGUUUCUUUCGUUUUUGACCUCGACAUUGUUCCUCGAUAGGUAUUUUCAUAGCUAUCAUGCUGUCGCUGUUAGCUAGCUAAUGCUAGCAGCGCUAGCUAACCUCAUAUCUGGAUGCCUCACUCUAGUUCCCGAAAGAGAGCAGCAUACUGGCUGCCCAUUCCCAAACCUGAAGCCAACUGUCCCCAGCAGGAAAGACCAGGAAAAGGUGUUGGCUUAAGAUCUGCCAACCUGCUCGGUGGGUGACAGGUAACCGUCUUUCCACCAAGCUGUUCCAGGCCUGGAGUGCCACGCUGGAACUUCCAGAGGCUUGUAGACCUGAAGCAGUGUGAUGUGGUCCUGUAAGAAAAUUGUUCCUCUCUGUCGUCUGCUCCUGCAUCUGCUACACUGGCCACAACAUGUGAUACAGAUCUGCCACGCCCAGUAGUUCAGCUGCAGUCACAGCAGUCUUCUGCUGUGGUAGUUAAUUUACCGGCUGCACCAAUGCCUACUACACUGGCCGUGAAAGGAGAAACCUUUUGGUAUUCCUUGAUGGAUACAGAUCUUCCAUGCACUCCACCACUGCCUGACAGCCUCACCCAGAAGUGCAUACACGGGGCCUAUCAGAGAUGGGUGGCUGUUAAGGAAAAAUAAAACAUGCACACACACACACAUUAUCCACAAUGUAAAUAAGUUGUAAUUACUUAAUAUUUGCUCCAUUUUAUUUUAGGAUUAUAGAUAUCUACUCCUUUAUAGCCAUUCUCAAUAUCUACAUAAUUACUCAAACUAUCUAUCAAAUCAAAGUGUGAUUGAUAAUAUUGUAAAAGACUAUGGCUUAAUGUGUACAGUUUGAGGAAAUUAUGAGUGCUUUUUUUCUGAGUUGAAAAACAUGCCUCGCUCACACACAUUGGACCCAAUGUAAAUCAGUUGUAAUAACUUGUUUAUUUUAUGUAUGG